Molecule: RNA transcript, 4873 nt
Organism: Vitis vinifera (wine grape)
Lineage: Eukaryota; Viridiplantae; Streptophyta; Magnoliopsida; Vitales; Vitaceae
Gene name: DNA-directed RNA polymerase III subunit 1
Exons: 29
Source: RefSeq, a predicted model, not a curated record
CCGCGGCACCGCCACGGCGCCACUGGCAUAAAGCACUGGGUUUUAUUGGGAGUUUGGAACAGGGCCGCAAACUAAACCCCAGGGUUUUGUUCCUCAACGUUGAUCAAAGAUGAAAGACGGUAUACAGUUCACUAAAGAGCCCUACAUCGAGGAUGUUGGACCUCGCAAAAUAGAGAGCAUUCGGUUCGCGUUGUUUUCCGAAUCCGAAAUUAGCAAAGCUGCAGAAGUUCAAGUGUGGCGUGGCGUUUACUAUGAUGCUAAUAGAAAACCUAUAGAAAACGGGUUAUUGGAUCCUCGCAUGGGACCUGCAAAUAAGAAUGGUACUUGUGCAACAUGCCUUGGGAAUUUUCGGGAUUGUCCGGGGCAUUGUGGGUACUUGACUCUCGCACUCCCUGUUUAUAAUGUUGGAUAUUUGAGUACAAUUGUGGACAUCUUGAAGUGCAUUUGCAAGUCUUGUUCUCGUGUACUUUUGGAUGAGAAAGCAUCUAAAGACUACUUGAAGAAGAUGAGAAGUCAAAAAAUGGAGGCUCUAAAGAAGGCCGAAUUAAUGAAAAAGAUAGUACAAAAAUGUACAGCUAUGGCAAGUAGUAAGAAAGCAGUGAAAUGUUCCAGAUGCGGGUAUAUGAAUGGUAUUGUGAAAAAGGCUGUAUCUGUUUUGGGAAUUAUCCAUGAUCGUUCAAAAAUUGCUGAUGGAAGCUUGGAAGAAUGCAGUUCAGCAAUUUCUCACACCAAAGAGUCCAAGGCAUCAUUCAGUGUUGUUGAUAUUCUUAACCCUGUCAAAGUUCUUUCUCUUUUUAAAAGGAUGAUGGAUGAGGAUUGUGAUUUGCUUAAUCUUGCUGAAAGACCAGAAAAACUUGUUUUAACGAACAUUGGAGUGCCACCCAUCGCUAUUCGUCCUUCAGUUUUUAUGGAUGGUGGAACACAGAGCAAUGAAAAUGAUGUUACUGAGAGGCUAAAGCGGAUUAUUCAAGCAAAUGCUAGCCUUCAUCAAGAGUUACAGGACACAGGCUCCACAUCCAAAUGUCUGGCUGGUUGGGAUUAUCUUCAAAUUGAGGUUGCCCAGUAUAUCAACAGUGAUGUUCGUGGUGUUCCACUAGCUAUGCAAGCUGCCAGGCCAUUGAGUGGUUUCGUUCAGCGCCUCAAAGGGAAGCAGGGGCGUUUUCGUGGGAACUUGUCUGGGAAGCGUGUUGAGUAUACUGGCAGGACUGUUAUAUCGCCUGACCCUAAUCUAAAAAUUACCGAGGUGGCAAUCCCCAUCCUGAUGGCUAAGAUCUUAAGUUAUCCUGAACGUGUUUCUCAUCACAAUAUAGAGAAGCUGAGACAAUGCAUUCUCAAUGGUCCUUUUAAAUACCCUGGUGCGAAGCUUAUCAGAUAUCCUGAUGGUUCUAUGAGGUCUUUGAUGUUUAGUGGCAGAAAGCGCUUUGCUGAUGAACUGAAAUAUGGUUACAUAGUUGAGCGUCACUUGGAAGAUGGCGAUGUUGUUCUUUUUAACAGACAACCAAGUUUGCAUCGGAUGUCAAUCAUGUGCCAUAGGGCGCGGAUAAUGCCUUGGAGAACAUUGAGGUUUAAUGAAUCAGUUUGCAACCCAUAUAAUGCAGAUUUUGAUGGUGAUGAAAUGAAUAUGCAUGUCCCACAGACAGAAGAAGCUCGCACGGAGGCUCUUAUGUUGAUGGGGGUGCAAAAUAACUUAUGUACACCAAAAAAUGGAGAGAUCUUGGUUGCUUCGACCCAAGAUUUUCUAACAUCUUCCUUCCUGAUUACGAGGAAGGACACUUUUUAUGACCGCGCAGCUUUUUCGCUCAUGUGUUCAUAUAUGGGUGAUGGCAUGGAUCUUGUUGAUUUACCAACACCAGCAAUAAUUAAGCCAGUGGAGCUGUGGACUGGUAAACAGUUAUUUAAUGUUCUACUGCGCCCUCAUGCAAAUGUGAGAGUCUAUCUGAAUCUUACUGUCAUGGAGAAAACCUACAACAAGCGUAGAGGAAAAGAAACAAUGUGUCCUAGUGAUGGGUUUGUCUAUUUCCGAAAUAGCGAACUAAUAUCUGGGCAACUUGGGAAGGCUACUUUAGGAAAUGGCAACAAGGACGGUCUUUUCUCUGUUCUUCUUAGGGACUAUAAUGCACAUGCUGCUGCUGCUUGUAUGAAUCGUCUGGCAAAAUUGAGUGCUCGGUGGAUAGGGAAUCAUGGCUUCUCAAUUGGGAUUGAUGAUGUUCAACCAGGAGGGCUUUUGAAUGACCAGAAAAGUAAGAGGAUUGAGGAAGGAUAUGAAAAUUGUCAUGAGCUAAUACAGCAGUACAAUAAAGGGAAGCUGAAACUUCAACCUGGUUGCAAUGCUGCCCAAACUCUUGAAGCCGAAAUAACUGGUGUAUUAAAUAAAAUUCGAGAAACAACUGCGAAUGUUUGCAUGGAAGAACUACAUUGGAGGAAUAGCCCUUUGAUUAUGUCCCAAUGUGGUUCCAAAGGAUCUCCUAUCAAUAUUAGCCAAAUGAUUGCAUGUGUAGGUCAGCAAUCGGUUGGGGGUCGUCGUGCUCCUGAUGGAUUUAUAGAUCGAACCCUUCCUCAUUUCCCUAGAAAGUCUAAAACCCCAGAUGCUAAAGGUUUUGUUGCCAGUUCAUUCUAUACUGGUUUGACAGCUACAGAGUUUUUCUUUCAUACAAUGGGAGGACGAGAAGGUCUUGUUGAUACGGCGGUAAAAACAGCUGACACCGGGUACAUGUCUCGUAGAUUAAUGAAAGCAUUAGAGGACCUGUCCAUUCAGUAUGAUGAAACAGUACGAAAUGCCAAUGGAAGCAUAGUUCAAUUUCUUUAUGGAGAUGAUGGUAUGGAUCCAGCAAGGAUGGAAGGAAAAGACGGCUUUCCUUUGAAUUUUAAUAGAUUGUUUUUGAAAGUGAAGGCUACAUGUCCCGCAGGAGAAAAUGCAAGUUUAUCUGCUUUACAAAUUGAGGAGACUGUGAAAAGGCUCAAAGAACAUAAUACAUCUGCUGAGGGUUGUUCUGAUGCCUUCAAGACCAAUCUAUCAGGUUUCCUUGAAGAAUGUAAAGAAAAAUUUAAAAACACGAGGGAGGCACUUGGAUUACAUGGAGAGCAUGUUGGGGAAGAAAAUUUAGAUAUCCAAGAAAAAUUUGCCAAAAAUAUAUCUGGUAUUACUUCCAAACAGUUGCAGGUUUUUCUGGAUACCUGCAUCUCUCGUUAUCAAUUAAAACGAAUUGAAGCUGGAACUGCAAUUGGUGCAAUUGGAGCUCAUAGUAUUGGAGAGCCUGGGACACAGAUGACAUUAAAAACUUUCCACUUUGCUGGUGUUGCAAGCAUGAAUGUUACACUUGGAGUUCCUCGUAUCAAAGAAAUAAUAAAUGGAGCCAAAAGAAUUAGCACACCCAUCAUCACUGCAGCUCUUGAGUGCAAUAAUAAUGUGAAAACCGCACGAAUGGUUAAAGGUCGCAUUGAGAGAACGACUUUAGGCCAGGUAGCAAAGAGUAUAAAGAUUGUCUUGACUUCAAGACUAGCGUUAAUAGCUGUCGCACUUGACAUGGAAGGAAUUCAGGCUUCACAAUUGUCUAUAGAUUCUAAUAUUGUAAGAGAAUCAAUUUUGCGAAACCGACGAAUCAAACUGAAGCAACAGCAUAUUAAGGUUUUGGAUGCUGGAAAGUUGGAAGUUCAUCCUCAGGGUGAUAGAAGUACAAUUCAUUUUGAACUCCAUGCUCUUAAAAAUUUGCUUCCAACUGUGGUUGUAAAGGGAAUAGAAACUGUUGAACGUGCUGUGAUUAACAAAGAUAACAAAGUAAAGUACAACUUGCUUGUAGAAGGCACAGGUCUCCAAACUGUCAUGGGCACUGAAGGAGUUAUUGGACGUGAAACUACCAGUAAUCAUAUCAUUGAAGUGCAGCAGACACUUGGAAUUGAAGCUGCAAGAAAGUGCAUCAUUAAUGAGAUACAGUAUACCAUGGCAAGCCAUGGGAUGAGCAUAGAUAUACGACAUAUGAUGCUUUUAGCAGAUUUGAUGACAUUUAGAGGUGAAGUUCUAGGAAUCACAAGAUUUGGCAUUCAAAAAAUGGACAAAAGUGUAUUGAUGCUGGCUUCAUUUGAGAAGACAGCAGAUCACCUUUUCAAUGCUUCUGUAAGUGGUAGAGAUGACAAGAUUGAAGGAGUAAGUGAAUGCAUAAUCAUGGGUAUACCCAUGCAACUGGGCACUGGAAUACUUAAAGUUAGACAGAGGCUUCAGCAAGUUCCAGAGCUGAGUUAUGGGUUAGACCCAAUUAUAUCUUAAGUUCAUCAAGUUGAACUUUUUCGAGACUAUGAACCAACAUGUGCAGGUCAUCCCAGUUCAUCACAAUGAGAUGGAUCUGCUUUAGCAGUCAAUGUAGAGAGCAUACUAUAAAGGCUUCGUCUGCCUCUACCAUGAUAUGCUGGAACCAAGUGAUCCAAGGAAGGCACAUUUGCACGGAUGGACGCAUAUCAAGUUGAUAUAGCCAAGCCCCUUCUAUGUGUUGUAGAAAUGAAGAGGUCCCAGAGAGCGAGCUCACUCAUCAUACAAGAUGAAAACAAAGAAUUUUUUUUUUUUUGAAAAAAAAUAAUAAUAAUAACAGAUGUUCUUUGAGGCGGGUGGCUGAGAGUUGGUUUUGCACGCCUUGUAAAGAUGAUAAGCCCGGCCAUUGAAAUUGACACUUACCAUGAAACCAGUUUUGCCAAUACACUUCCCUAUAAAUUGAUUCAAAGUAAAUGUAAUAAUUGUUUGAGGAAAGGAUCAUAGGGAGCAUUCAGCAUUGCAUUUCCUGCUUUCCUGCAAUUACACAUCCAUCAAUUUUACUGGCUAUUUGUGUAACGGGAUUUGGACCCGUGGACUCCUAUUUCAAUUUUUAAUUUAAUUUGGUUUCACCUA